AGAGUUUGAUCAUGGCUCAGGACGAACGCUGACGGUGUGCUUUAGACAUGCAAGUCGAACGAGAAAGCCCUUCGGGGUGAGUACAGUGGCGAACGGGUGAGUAACACGUGGGCAAUCUGCCCCUCGCAGGGGGACAACCGGGGGGAAACCCCGGCUAAUACCCCGUACGCUUACGGAGCCGCAUGGGUCCGUAAGGAGAGGUAGCUUCGGCCAUCCGGCGAGGGAUGAGCCCGCGGUGCAUUAGCUAGUUGGUGGGGUAACGGCUCACCAAGGCGACGAUGGAUAGCUGGUCUGAGAGGAUGAUCAGCCACACUGGGACUGAGACACGGCCCAGACUCCUACGGGAGGCAGCAGUCGGGAAUCUUGCGCAAUGGGCGAAAGCCUGACGCAGCAACACCGUGUGGGCGACGAAGGCCUUCGGGUCGUAAAGCCCUGUUGUUGGGGACGAAGGGCGAAGGGUUAAUAGCCCCUAGCUUGACGGUACCCUUCGAGGAAGCCCCAGCUAACUACGUGCCAGCAGCCGCGGUAAUACGUAGGGGGCGAGCGUUGUCCGGAAUUAUUGGGCGUAAAGAGCGUGUAGGCGGUUUGGUAAGUCUGCCGUGAAAACCCGGGGCUCAACCCCGGUCGUGCGGUGGAUACUGCCAGGCUAGAGGAUGGUAGAGGCGAGUGGAAUUCCCGGUGUAGCGGUGAAAUGCGCAGAUAUCGGGAGGAACACCAGUAGCGAAGGCGGCUCGCUGGGCCAUUCCUGACGCUGAGACGCGAAAGCUAGGGGAGCGAACAGGAUUAGAUACCCCGGUAGUCC
This 802-nucleotide ribosomal RNA is filed under the name uncultured Rubrobacter sp. Its description in RNAcentral is "bacterial SSU rRNA". It matches the Rfam family "Bacterial small subunit ribosomal RNA", at positions 8 to 796 of the family's 1533-position model. Lineage: Bacteria; Bacillati; Actinomycetota; Rubrobacteria; Rubrobacterales; Rubrobacteraceae. The record is from RNAcentral.